RNAcentral lists this ribosomal RNA (327 nucleotides) under uncultured Pseudomonadota bacterium. RNAcentral's name for it is "bacterial SSU rRNA". It matches the Rfam family "Bacterial small subunit ribosomal RNA", at positions 30 to 351 of the family's 1533-position model. Lineage: Bacteria; Pseudomonadati; Pseudomonadota. The record is from RNAcentral.
AUUGAACGCUAGCGGCAUGCUUAACACAUGCAAGUCGAACGGUAACAGGCCCAGCUUGCUGGGUGCUGACGAGUGGCGAACGGGUGAGUAACGCGUAGGAAUCUACCUUGUAGUGAGGGACAACCCGAGGAAACUCGGGCUAAUACCACAUAAUCUCUACGGAGCAAAGAGGGCCUCUAUUUAUAAGCUCUCGCUAUAAGAGGAGCCUGCGUCAGAUUAGCUUGUUGGUGGGGUAAAGGCCUACCAAGGCAACGAUCUGUAGCUGGUCUGAGAGGACGAUCAGCCACACUGGGACUGAGACACGGCCCAGACUCCUACGGGAGGCAG